GUCCUGUUGAGUAUAAUUUCAGGUCAGGCCUGCCCGAUGAUUGUUUGAAUGGCCGCGGUAUUUUGACCGUGCAAAGGUAGCAUAAUCACUAGUUUUUUAAUUGGAAGCUUGAAUGAAAGGUUUAAUGAGAAAAUUACUGUCUCUAGAGAAAUUUAUUAGAAUUUUAUUUUUAAGUUAAAAAGCUUAAAUUUGUAUGGAAGACGAGAAGACCCUAUAGAGUUUUAUAUUUAUGUUGAUUAGUAACUAGAGGGUUUUAAAUUUGCUUAUUAGUUAGAUAUUUUAUUGGGGUGAUAGAAAAAUUAAUUAAACUUUUUUUUAAAAGCUACAUUUAUUUAUGAAUAUUUGAUCCUUAAGGCUUAGAUCAGAAGAUUAAAUUACCUUAGGGAUAACAGCGUAAUUUUUUUUAGAGUUCUUAUCGAAAAAAAAGAUUGCGACCUCGAUGUUGGAUUAAAAUUUGUUUCUGGUGCAGAAGCUAGGGGACUUGGUCUGUUCGACCUUUUAAAUUUUACAUGAUCUGAGUUUAAACCGGCGUGAG
This 535-nucleotide ribosomal RNA is filed under the name Trigonopterus sp. 260 AR-2022a. RNAcentral describes it as "partial large subunit ribosomal RNA". It matches the Rfam family "Archaeal large subunit ribosomal RNA", at positions 1953 to 2694 of the family's 2987-position model. The record is from RNAcentral. Lineage: Eukaryota; Metazoa; Arthropoda; Insecta; Coleoptera; Curculionidae.